This 504-nucleotide long non-coding RNA is filed under the name Androctonus crassicauda. Lineage: Eukaryota; Metazoa; Arthropoda; Arachnida; Scorpiones; Buthidae. The record is from RNAcentral.
CAGCAACCAAUGCAGGAAAUAAACUUCUUAGACAUUAAAAUCAACAUCGAAAGAGGGAGACUUGUAACAUUAGUUUACAGAAAACUGUACUACCAAGCGGUCAUUAUACCCAGCUGGUCCCCGGACAAGAUGGCAUACAAAAAGGCAGCAUUAAGAGCAUAUUUUCGAAGGGCUUAUCAAUAUACAACGGGCCAGCAAGAUCUGAAAAUGAAAUUAACCAUAUUUAUCAAAUUGAGAGGAAGCAUGGCUAUAAAUAUGGAUUUAUGAAACAGAUACAAAGAAAAGUCAAAUUAAGCCUACUUAGCCCGCCACAUGAAAGACAUAAUGAAUCAUGCAAGAGAGGGAUGAGAGAUACGAAGUAUUACCUCAAAGGCUGGCUAACCGAGGGACUACUAGAACCAUCUUGAAUAAAACAAAGAAAAAAGUGACAAUACGUAGAGCCCCCACGGUAUUCAAUAGUAUAAGGAAUGACAAAGAAAAGAGGAGUCAAAUGCAGAGGUCAGG